This 522-nucleotide ribosomal RNA is filed under the name Triticum aestivum (bread wheat). RNAcentral describes it as "partial small subunit ribosomal RNA". The record is from RNAcentral. Lineage: Eukaryota; Viridiplantae; Streptophyta; Magnoliopsida; Poales; Poaceae.
AUGAUCCCGGCCGGUGCUGCAGCUGCUGCUGGUGGAAUUGUUGCUCCUCCUCCCGGAGGGGUGAUGCGCAUCCGCGCGGUGGCAUGGGCGCACAUCGUCCUCGGGUGGGCCACCGCCCUCCUCGCUGUCCUCGCCGUCAACCUCCAGCCGCAGCUGCAGGGGACGUGCACGACCACCGAGGAUGAGGUGGCGCACAUGCGCGCCGACGCGCUGCUGCUGCUGCUGUCCAGCGCCGCCCAGGCCGCGGCGGCCACGGUGGCCGCCUUCGCGUCGGAGGACUGGCGCAAGGGAGUGCCCUGGACCUUCGCUGCCUUCGCCCACGGGAUGGGUGUCGCCACCUUCCACCGCCUCGACAACGUCGUCUUCUUGGCGGCGCUCGUCACCGUCGGGAGCUGCCCCGGCAGCCAGCUGCUCGUCCACGGGACCCCGCUGGUAGCCCACUUCAUCCUGCUCGCGGUGCCCCUCGGUCUCUUCUUCCUGCUCGGCGUCAGCACGUUGAUCUCCGCCCUGGUAUACCCUUAG